Molecule: ribosomal RNA, 433 nt
Filed under: uncultured bacterium
Lineage: Bacteria
Description: partial 16S ribosomal RNA
Rfam family: Bacterial small subunit ribosomal RNA
Source: RNAcentral
AACGAACGCUGGCGGCAUGCCUAACACAUGCAAGUCGAACGAGACCUUCGGGUCUAGUGGCGCACGGGUGCGUAACGCGUGGGAACCUGCCCUUAGGUUCGGAAUACCUCCCCGAAAGGGGUGCUAAUACCGGAUAAUGUCUUCGGACCAAAGAUUUAUCGCCUUUGGAUGGGCCCGCGUUGGAUUAGCUAGUUGGUAGGGUAAAAGCCUACCAAGGCGAGGAUCCAUAGCUGGUCUGAGAGGAUGAUCAGCCACACUGGGACUGAGACACGGCCCAGACUCCUACGGGAGGCAGCAGUGGGGAAUAUUAGACAAUGGGCGAAAGCCUGAUCCAGCAAUGCCGCGUGAGUGAUGAAGGCCUUAGGGUUGUAAAGCUCUUUGACCCGGGAUGAUAAUGACAGUACCGGGAGAAUAAGCUCCGGCUAACUCCGUG